Molecule: long non-coding RNA, 791 nt
Organism: Balaenoptera ricei (Rice's whale)
Lineage: Eukaryota; Metazoa; Chordata; Mammalia; Artiodactyla; Balaenopteridae
Exons: 5
Source: RefSeq, a predicted model, not a curated record
AGGCUGUGGAUCCGGUCGUGGGAAGCAGAGUGAACUUCUGGGAUCUGAGCUGACUCCGCUGGACUCCAGUGAUGUUUCUGGAACCUGCUCUGACUGCUGUGAAGUCAGAUAACAGCCUGGGCCGGGGGAGGACUGGAGCCUCAGGAAGAGGUUGAGAGUAGGUGGGAGAGAGAAGGGACAGAAGGAGGAGCCAUCGCAGACCCCUCCCAGUCCCCUCCCCACCCAAGCCAGCAUCGUCUGUGGGAUCACGGAGAAGGCAGUUUAUCCUAACUCCAAGGCUCAUUUGUAUCCAGCCUCUGGAUUUUCUAAUUAUCUUCGCCUCCUAUGGAUUUCUCCCGCAGGGGAGACCGACGGUAGGAGGCUGGAUCCCAGCUGGAACACAGACACAGAACUGAGCCACCUUUGACCACAUAGAUGAAGACAGAUACCUUAGGAGAUGACAGAAACAUAAAAUGGAAAACCCCUGGGUCGCCACAUGACUACACGGAGGAGAUCUGCCCCACCAGCCUGGACCAUUCAUUUCCAGACUGGAAACUUAAAAGCAUUGCCAUUAAGUUCAAGAACUAGACAAAGCUGCCUGUUGUUGCUGCUUCUACCCAACUACUAGAGGUCCUAGCCUACGCAAGAAAAGAAAGAAGAGAAAGAAGAUAUGUCAAGAAUUCCUGCUGCCCCAAGAAACCAGCCGGAGAAUUAUGAUGCUGUCCGAAUAACCAGAAACCAGGCGGAGAGCUUGGUCACAGGCUCUUAUCCCAGGGUAGGUGUCCUGGGCUGGAGACCCACACCCCACACUC